Non-coding RNA from Phacochoerus africanus (Common warthog), 72 nucleotides. The record is from the annotation of a RefSeq genome assembly. Lineage: Eukaryota; Metazoa; Chordata; Mammalia; Artiodactyla; Suidae.
UCCCUGGUGGUCUAGUGGCUAGGACUCAGUGCUUUGACCACUGUGGCCCAGGUUCAAUCCCUGGUCUGGGAA